AUUGAACGCUGGCGGCAGGCUUAACACAUGCAAGUCGAGCGGGGUGAUGGUGCUUGCACUAUCACUUAGCGGCGGACGGGUGAGUAAUGCUUAGGAAUCUGCCUAUUAGUGGGGGACAACAUCUCGAAAGGGAUGCUAAUACCGCAUACGUCCUACGGGAGAAAGCAGGGGAUCACUUGUGACCUUGCGCUAAUAGAUGAGCCUAAGUCGGAUUAGCUAGUUGGUGGGGUAAAGGCCUACCAAGGCGACGAUCUGUAGCGGGUCUGAGAGGAUGAUCCGCCACACUGGGACUGAGACACGGCCCAGACUCCUACGGGAGGCAGCAGUGGGGAAUAUUGGACAAUGGGGGGAACCCUGAUCCAGCCAUGCCGCGUGUGUGAAGAAGGCCUUAUGGUUGUAAGCACUUUAAGCGAGGAGGAGGCUCUUUUGGUUAAUACCCAAGAUGAGUGACGUUACUCGCAGAAUAAGCACCGGCUAACUCUGUGCCAGCAGCCGCCGCCG
Molecule: ribosomal RNA, 501 nt
Filed under: uncultured bacterium
Lineage: Bacteria
Description: partial 16S ribosomal RNA
Rfam family: Bacterial small subunit ribosomal RNA
Source: RNAcentral